Molecule: small RNA, 66 nt
Filed under: Pteropus vampyrus (large flying fox)
Lineage: Eukaryota; Metazoa; Chordata; Mammalia; Chiroptera; Pteropodidae
Description: 7SK RNA (ENSPVAG00000027985.1)
Rfam family: 7SK RNA
About the family: 7SK was discovered as an abundant small nuclear RNA in the mid-70s but a possible function has only recently been suggested. Two independent studies have found that 7SK RNA binds the CDK9/cyclin T complex (known as elongation factor P-TEFb). P-TEFb activates transcription by phosphorylating the C-terminal domain of RNA polymerase II.
Source: RNAcentral
UGACAUCUGUCACCCCAUUGAUCACCAAGGUUGAUUCAGCUGAUCUAGCUGGUUAAGCAAGUGUCC